GUUAUCGUUUAUUUGAUAGUACCUUACUACUUGGAUAACCGUGGUAAUUCUAGAGCUAAUACAUGCUAAAAACCCCGACUUCGGAAGGGGUGUAUUUAUUAGAUAAAAAACCAAUGCCCUUCGGGGCUCCUUGGUGAUUCAUAAUAACUUAACGAAUCGCAUGGCCUUGUGCCGGCGAUGGUUCAUUCAAAUUUCUGCCCUAUCAACUUUCGAUGGUAUGGUCUUGGCUUACCAUGGUUUCAACGGGUAACGGGGAAUUAGGGUUCUAUUCCGGAGAGGGAGCCUGAGAAACGGCUACCACAUCCAAGGAAGGCAGCAGGCGCGCAAAUUACCCAAUCCCGACACGGGGAGGUAGUGACAAUAAAUACUGAUACAGGGCUCUUUUGGGUCUUGUAAUUGGAAUGAGUACAAUUUAAAUCCCUUAACGAGGAACAAUUGGAGGGCAAGUCUGGUGCCAGCAGCCGCGGUAAUUCCAGCUCCAAUAGCGUAUAUUAAAGUUGUUGCAGUUAAAAAGCUCGUAGUUGAACCUUGG
RNAcentral lists this ribosomal RNA (532 nucleotides) under uncultured fungus. RNAcentral describes it as "SSU rRNA". It matches the Rfam family "Eukaryotic small subunit ribosomal RNA", at positions 109 to 644 of the family's 1831-position model. The record is from RNAcentral. Lineage: Eukaryota; Fungi.